Molecule: ribosomal RNA, 440 nt
Filed under: uncultured bacterium
Lineage: Bacteria
Description: partial 16S ribosomal RNA
Rfam family: Bacterial small subunit ribosomal RNA
Source: RNAcentral
CCUACGGGUGGCUGCAGUGGGGAAUAUUGCACAAUGGGGGAAACCCUGAUGCAGCGACGCCGCGUGCGUGAAGAAGUAAUUCGUUAUGUAAAGCUCUCUCAGCAGGGACGAAAAUGACGGUACCUGACUAAGAAGCCCCGGCUAACUACGGUCCAGCAGCCGCCGUAAUACUUAGGGGGCAAGCCUUAUCCGGCUUUACUGGGUGUAAAGGGAGCGUAGACGGCAGGGCAAGUCUGAAGUGAAAGGCGGGGGCUGAACCCCGGAACUGCUUUGGAAACUUUACGGCUGGAGUGCAGGAGAGGUAAGUAGAAUUCCUGGUGUAGCGGUGAAAUGCGUAGAUAUUAGGAGGAAAACCAGUGGCGAAGGCGGCUUACUGGACGGUAACUGACGUUGAGGCUCGAAAGCGUGGGGAGCAAACAGGAUUAGAUACCCCUGUAGUC